UAUUUGAAGAGUUUGAUCAUGGCUCAGAUUGAACGCUGGCGGCAGGCCUUAUACAUGCAAGUCGAACGAGAAAGUAUCUUCGGAUACGAGUAAAGUGGCGGACGGGUGAGUAAUACAUAGGAAUCUACCCAGUGGAGGGGGAUAGCUCGAGGAAACUCGAAUUAAUACCGCAUAAUCUCUACGGAGUAAAUGGGGGCUUCGGCUCUCGCCAUUGGAUGAGCCUAUGCAGGAUUAGCUUGUUGGUAAGGUAAUGGCUUACCAAGGCGACGAUCCUUAGCUGGUUUGAGAGGAUGACCAGCCACAUCGGGACUGAGACACGGCCCGGACUUCUACGGAAGGCAGCAGUAGGGAAUAUUGGACAAUGAGCGAAAGCUUGAUCCAGCCAUGCCGCGUGUGCGAUGACGGCCUUCGGGUUGUAAAGCACUUUAGGUAACGAGGAAAAGUUAGGUGUUAAUACCAUCUAAUCUUGACGUUAAUUACAGAAUAAGCACCGGCUAAAUCCGUGCCAGCAGCCGCGGUAAUACGGAUGGUGCAAGCGUUAAUCGGAAUUACUGGGCGUAAAGCGCGCGUAGGUGGCAUACCAAGUUAGAUGUGAAAUCCCAGGGCUUAACCCUGGAACUGCAUCUAAAACUGGUAAGCUUGAGUACUAGAGAGGAAAGUAGAAUUCUUAGUGUAGCGGUGGAAUGCGUAGAUAUUAAGAGGAAUACCAAUGGCGAAGGCAACUUUCUGGAU
RNAcentral lists this ribosomal RNA (732 nucleotides) under SAR86 cluster bacterium. RNAcentral's name for it is "bacterial SSU rRNA". It matches the Rfam family "Bacterial small subunit ribosomal RNA", at positions 1 to 734 of the family's 1533-position model. The record is from RNAcentral. Lineage: Bacteria; Pseudomonadati; Pseudomonadota; Gammaproteobacteria.